UACAUGAGCAGCGAAUGUUAUGCAUAUUAGUUGGGUGUAAAAUGUAUGUAGAGUAAAUUCUUAGUUAUACUAUGAUUGGGUUAUUAAGAAUUUUAUAAUUAAGGUCUGGUAUUAAGAUAAUUUAUAAUAGAGAUUAAAUUCUACUUUUAAUAUAAACGAUUUUUUAAGCAUUUUACUGACUUUAAUCGAAAUUGAAAUACGAAAGUAUAAGCCACGAAACGGUUUCACCGAGUAGAUUAUACUGUAAAAUAUGGGUUUUAAAAGCUAACGCUAGACUACCCUACCCGGGGAGUAAGACUACAAGGUCCAAACUUAAAAGAAUUGGCGGGAUUGAUCAAACAGUGGAAUAUGUGGUUUAAUGCGAUAGUCCACGCAUAAUCUUACCAAUCAGCAAAAUUUAGUUUUAUAUUUUAUAAUAUAUUAUAGUAGAGUUUUCGGUAACCUGGAAAACUUUUUUUUUAAAUUCUGGUACUGCAUGGCUGAUUCAAAUUCAAAUUUUGAAAUUUAAAAUUCAGUUUUAUUUUGAAUGUAACUUAUAAAUAAAUUUAUUUAUUUUCUAUUGAAUAAAACACGUCUAGUCAUUAUGGUCUGUUAUUUUUUUGGGCGACACACGUAUUAUAAUGGCAAAAACAAAAAAAUGCAAAUAAUCGAGUACAAGCUAUUUUCAAAAAUUGCCUUAGUUCUAAAUGUUUUUUUGAAACUUAAAAACACGAAGCUAAAAUUGUUAGUAAUCGUGAAAUAAUAUGUCACGGUGAAUAGAUUUUUUAUAAUCUGCACACACCGCCCAUCAAGCCCAGAGAUGUUUUUAAUGUAAAAGCCUGACGAAACCUUUAUUUUUUUUUUUUAAAAAAAGUCUUAAGAUGAGUCUAAGUUGAAACUUUAAAGGCAAAUUCGGGUUAAGUUG
Molecule: ribosomal RNA, 904 nt
Filed under: Heliophrya erhardi
Lineage: Eukaryota; Ciliophora; Phyllopharyngea; Evaginogenida; Heliophryidae
Description: partial small subunit ribosomal RNA
Rfam family: Bacterial small subunit ribosomal RNA
Source: RNAcentral